This 150-nucleotide ribosomal RNA is filed under the name Triticum aestivum (bread wheat). RNAcentral's name for it is "partial small subunit ribosomal RNA". The record is from RNAcentral. Lineage: Eukaryota; Viridiplantae; Streptophyta; Magnoliopsida; Poales; Poaceae.
CUCUUUCUAUAGAGAUUCGAUUCGGAACUCUUAUAUGUCCAAGGUCAAUAUGGAAAUUCUUUCAGAGGUUUUCCCUUACUUUGUCUCAUUAUAAAACCGAUAAACCAGAAAAAGAUGGAUUGUUUUGCAAAAGAAUCUUUGGACACAUAA